AAUAGAUGACAUCGUUGACUUUUUCUCAUAUGUUUGACCAUUCGUCUUAUUCAAAAAAAAAUAUAUAAUUAUAAUUUAUUUUGUUAUGAGUUGUUUUAUCACUCAUAGUACUUUAAGUAUGAUUUAUAUCUUAUAUAUUUGCAUAAAAUUUUUGAAUAAGACGAAUGGUCAAACAUGUGAGAAAAAAUCAACGGCGUCAUUUAUU
RNAcentral lists this microRNA precursor (205 nucleotides) under Oryza sativa Japonica Group (Japanese rice). RNAcentral describes it as "MIR812 microRNA precursor family". It matches the Rfam family "MIR812 microRNA precursor family". Lineage: Eukaryota; Viridiplantae; Streptophyta; Magnoliopsida; Poales; Poaceae. The record is from Rfam by way of RNAcentral.